GUGCCAGCAGCCGCGGUAAUACAGAGGUCUCGAGCGUUGUUCGGAUUUAUUGGGCGUAAAGGGUGCGUAGGCGGUGUGGUUAGUCAAAUGUGAAAUCUCGGAGCUCAACUUUGAAACUGCACUUGAUACUGCCAUGCUAGAGGGUUGUAGAGGAGACCGGAAUUCACGGUGUAGCAGUGAAAUGCGUAGAUAUCGUGAGGAAGACCAGUUGCGAAAGCGGGUCUCUGGGCAAUUCCUGACGCUGAGGCACGAAGGCUAGGGGAGCAAACGGGAUUAGAUACCCCGGUAGUCCUAGCAGUAAACGGUGCACGUUUGGUAUAGGCAGAUUCGACCCUGCCUGUGCCGGAGCUAACGCGUUAAACGUGCCGCCUGAGGAGUACGGCCGCAAGGCUAAAACUCAAAGAAAUUGACGGGGGCCCGCACAAGCGGUGGAGUAUGUGGCUUAAUUCGAUGCAACGCGAAGAACCUUACCUGGCCUUGACAUGUAACGUGAUAGCCGAUGAAAGUCGGUGACGGUCCGAGAGGAUGCUGGGGUUACACAGGUGCUGCAUGGCUGUCGUCAGCUCGUGUCGUGAGAUGUUGGGUUAAGUCCCGCAACGAGCGCAACCCCUGUGAGCUGUUACUCCCUUUGCGGGGAGUUCUCUGCUCAGACUGCCCUGUGAAACGGGGAGGAAGGUGGGGAUGACGUCAAGUCAGCAUGGCCCUUACGGCCAGGGCUGCACACGUACUACAAUGCGCACUACAGAAUGAUCCGAGAUCGUGAGAUGGAGGAAAUCCCUAAAAGUGCGCCCAGUUCGGAUUGUAGGCUGCAACUCGCCUACAUGAAGCCGGAAUCGCUAGUAAUGGCGUAUCAGCUACGGCGCCGUGAAUACGUUCCCGGGCCUUGUACACACCGCCCGUCGCAUCAUGGAAGUCGUUUGUACCCGAAGUGUAUGAGCUAA
This 941-nucleotide ribosomal RNA is filed under the name Burkholderiaceae bacterium J94_1. RNAcentral describes it as "bacterial SSU rRNA". It matches the Rfam family "Bacterial small subunit ribosomal RNA", at positions 505 to 1438 of the family's 1533-position model. Lineage: Bacteria; Pseudomonadati; Pseudomonadota; Betaproteobacteria; Burkholderiales; Burkholderiaceae. The record is from RNAcentral.